Stegodyphus dumicola is the source of this 230-nucleotide long non-coding RNA. The record is from RefSeq and is a predicted model, not a curated record. NCBI's taxonomy places the organism in Eukaryota, Metazoa, Arthropoda, Arachnida, Araneae, Eresidae.
CGUCCUAUAAAAGAACGAACAUGUCCUCUUCUAUACAGGUGAAAUCUACCCUACCCUAACGAGGUUCCCGCUUCAAGAGCUCUGCAUAUAAAAGUGUCAGAACUGUUGGAUUACACAGCAGACGAACUGACGGGUAAAAGUGUGUACGCACUUUGUCAUGGACAGAAUGCACAAAGAUGAAGGAAAUGUCACAUUGAAAGUGGUGAAUAAAAGGUUUUUCUUGACUCGAA